Molecule: ribosomal RNA, 490 nt
Filed under: uncultured bacterium
Lineage: Bacteria
Description: partial 16S ribosomal RNA
Rfam family: Bacterial small subunit ribosomal RNA
Source: RNAcentral
AUUGAACGCUGGCGGCAGGCCUAACACAUGCAAGUCGAACGGUAACAGGAAGCAGCUUGCUGCUUUGCUGACGAGUGGCGGACGGGUGAGUAAUGUCUGGGAAACUGCCUGAUGGAGGGGGAUAACUACUGGAAACGGUAGCUAAUACCGCAUAACGUCGCAAGACCAAAGAGGGGGACCUUCGGGCCUCUUGCCAUCGGAUGUGCCCAGAUGGGAUUAGCUAGUAGGUGGGGUAACGGCUCACCUAGGCGACGAUCCCUAGCUGGUCUGAGAGGAUGACCAGCCACACUGGAACUGAGACACGGUCCGGACUCCUACGGGAGGCAGCAGUGGGGAAUAUUGCACAAUGGGCGCAAGCCUGAUGCAGCCAUGCCGCGUGUAUGAAGAAGGCCUUCGGGUUGUAAAGUACUUUCAGCGGGGAGGAAGGGAGUAAAGUUAAUACCUUUGCUCAUUGACGUUACCCGCAGAAGAAGCACCGGCUAACUCCGUG